Molecule: ribosomal RNA, 521 nt
Filed under: Vibrio sp. OT56
Lineage: Bacteria; Pseudomonadati; Pseudomonadota; Gammaproteobacteria; Vibrionales; Vibrionaceae
Description: bacterial SSU rRNA
Rfam family: Bacterial small subunit ribosomal RNA
Source: RNAcentral
CAGGCCUAACGCAUGCAGUCGACGGUAACGUUUCAAAGCUUGCUUUUAAUGAUGACGAGCGGCGGACGGGUGAGUAAUGCCUGGGAAUAUGCCUUGAUGUGGGGGAUAACCAUUGGAAACGAUGGCUAAUGCCGCAUAAUGCUACGGGCCAAAGAGAGGGAUCUUCGGACCUCUCGCGUCAAGGUUAGCCCAGGUGGGAUUAGCUAGUUGGUGAGGUAAUGGCUCACCAAGGCGACGAUCCCUAGCUGGUCUGAUAGGAUGAUCAGCCACACUGGAACUGAGACACGGUCCAGACUCCUACGGGAGGCAGCAGUGGGGAAUGUUGCUACAAUGGGCGCAAGCCUGAUGCAGCCAUGCCGCGUGUGUGAAGAAGGCCUUCGGGUUGUAAAGCACUUUCAGUCGUGAGGAAGGUAGUUGCGUUAAUAGCGUAAUUAUUUGACUGUUAGCGACAGACAGAGAGCGCCGGCUAACUCCGUCGCCUAGCAGCCGCGGUAAUGCGGAGGGUGCGAGCGUUAAUCGGA